GCCUUCGUGGUGUAGUGGUCAGCACGCUGAGCGCGUAUUCCAGAGGUCUCUGGUUCGAGUCCUGACGUAGGCG
Molecule: non-coding RNA, 73 nt
Organism: Stegodyphus mimosarum
Lineage: Eukaryota; Metazoa; Arthropoda; Arachnida; Araneae; Eresidae
Source: Rfam